Molecule: ribosomal RNA, 499 nt
Filed under: uncultured Pseudomonadota bacterium
Lineage: Bacteria; Pseudomonadati; Pseudomonadota
Description: bacterial SSU rRNA
Rfam family: Bacterial small subunit ribosomal RNA
Source: RNAcentral
UGGGGAAUAUUGGACAAUGGGCGAAAGCCUGAUCCAGCCAUGCCGCGUGUGUGAAGAAGGUCUUCGGAUUGUAAAGCACUUUAAGUUGGGAGGAAGGGCAGUUACCUAAUACGUGACUGUCUUGACGUUACCGACAGAAUAAGCACCGGCUAACUCUGUGCCAGCAGCCGCGGUAAUACGGAGGGUGCAAGCGUUAAUCGGAAUUACUGGGCGUAAAGCGCGCGUAGGUGGUUUGUUAAGUUGAAUGUGAAAUCCCCGGGCUCAACCUGGGAACUGCAUCCAAAACUGGCAAGCUAGAGUAUGGUAGAGGGUAGUGGAAUUUCCUGUGUAGCGGUGAAAUGCGUAGAUAUAGGAAGGAACACCAGUGGCGAAGGCGACUACCUGGACUGAUACUGACACUGAGGUGCGAAAAGCGUGGGGAGCAAAACAGGAUUAGAUACCCUGGUAGUCCACGCCGUAAAACGAUGUCAACUAGCCGUUGGGAGUCUUGAACUCUAGU